Molecule: long non-coding RNA, 247 nt
Organism: Larimichthys crocea (large yellow croaker)
Lineage: Eukaryota; Metazoa; Chordata; Actinopteri; Sciaenidae
Exons: 2
Source: RefSeq, a predicted model, not a curated record
CACUCAGCCUCUGCUCCUACGUAGAAGGAAAUCAAUCUAUGUACAAGAACUAUGUACAAAAAAAAAAAGCUCUUCCAUUCAUUCUUCCAGGUCUGUGAAUAAAGCUCUUGUAAACUUAAAAAAAACAAACGGGGGAGUGUGUGUGUGUGUGUGUGUGUGUGUGUGUGUGUGUGUGUGUGUGUGUGUGUGUGUGACACAUUAACUGGAUGUUUGAUGACACGCGUCGAACUUUUACAACCGAUGAACU